UACAAAGGUCCCAAACGUUGUUCAAAUUCACUAAACGUAAAAAGUACAUAGGCGGUCGGGUAAGUCUAACGUAAAAUCUCCAAGCUCAACUUAAAAAUGGCGCCGGAUACUAUUCGGCUCGAGGAGUGGAGGGGAGACUGGAAUUCUCGGUGUAGCAGUGAAAUGCGUAGAUAUCGAGAGGAACACCAGUGGCGAAGGCGAGUCUCUGGACACUUCCUGACGCUGAGGCACGAAAGCCAGGGGAGCAAACGGG
RNAcentral lists this ribosomal RNA (253 nucleotides) under uncultured bacterium. RNAcentral's name for it is "partial 16S ribosomal RNA". It matches the Rfam family "Bacterial small subunit ribosomal RNA", at positions 524 to 776 of the family's 1533-position model. The record is from RNAcentral.